Marmota monax (woodchuck) is the source of this 791-nucleotide long non-coding RNA. RefSeq lists it as uncharacterized. The record is from RefSeq and is a predicted model, not a curated record. Lineage: Eukaryota; Metazoa; Chordata; Mammalia; Rodentia; Sciuridae. The transcript has 4 exons.
UACAUGUGCAAUGAGUGCGAGUCACCAUCUGACCCAGGUGGGAAAGAGCAACACAGAGAAGACUGCAGGUGACAGGUGCAUGGUGGAAACUUUCUUUCUGGUGGUUCCACAACUUCAUAUUCAAUUUAAUCCCCUAUCUCAUUACUGGAUAGAUUUCAUCGUGCAGAACAAGCUGUCUGGCAAAGGCAAGAGACAAGUGAAAGGGAAGAGGAGAGAAAAACAGAGAAGUGGAUAAAGGGCUCAAGAAGUUCAGCAGUCUGGGCAACAUGGCAGGGUGGAGAGAACCCAGAAGAUCCUGCCAGCCACUGGGAGAACCUUCGCUGGAGUACAGGCAUUUACGUGUGUCCGAAUGCGGCUACACCAACAUGACUGUGAACUGAAGACCUCCAUGGAGUUUUUAGCUUACUUCAUGCAGGGGAAAGGAACUAACAUUUAUAAAGAACCUACUGAAACACGCUUCAUGUUAGCUUAUCUCAUUUAAUCUCAGAAGAGCCCUCAAAGGUAAAUAUUAUUUUCAUUUGACACAGAAAACUGAGGCUGGGCUAGGGUUGUGACUCAGUGGUAGAGCGCUUACAUAGCAUGUGUGAGGCACUGGAUUCAAUCCUCAGCACCACGUUUAAAUAAAUAAAUAAAUAAAUAAAACAAAGAUUUUUUUUAAAAAGUCAAUGUAAAAAUGAAUUUAAAAAAAGAAAAAGAAAACUGAGGCUCAGACAGGUUUAAGUAACUUCUCAAUGUCACACAGCUGAUAAGUGUCAAAACAGGGAUUCUGCUUCAGGUCCACUGAGUCUGAC